UACGGGGGGGGCAAGCGUUGUUCGGAAUUACUGGGCGUAAAGGGCUCGUAGGCGGCCAACUAAGUCAGACGUGAAAUCCCUCGGCUUAACCGGGGAACUGCAUCUGAUACUGGAUGGCUCGAGUUUGGGAGAGGGAUGCGGAAUUCCAGGUGUAGCGGUGAAAUGCGUAGAUAUCCGGAAGAACACCGGUGGCGAAGGCGGCCUGCUGGGCUAUGGCUGACACUGAGGCGCGACAGCGUGGGGAGCAAACAGG
Molecule: ribosomal RNA, 253 nt
Filed under: uncultured bacterium
Lineage: Bacteria
Description: partial 16S ribosomal RNA
Rfam family: Bacterial small subunit ribosomal RNA
Source: RNAcentral